GAUGAACGCUGGCGGCGUGCCUAACACAUGCAAGUCGAGCGAACAGACGAGGAGCUUGCUCCUCUGACGUUAGCGGCGGACGGGUGAGUAACACGUGGAUAACCUACCUAUAAGACUGGGAUAACUUCGGGAAACCGGAGCUAAUACCGGAUAAUAUAUUGAACCGCAUGGUUCAAUAGUGAAAGACGGCUUUGCUGUCACUUAUCGAUGGAUCCGCGCCGCAUUAGCUAGUUGGUAAGGUAACGGCUUACCAAGGCAACGAUGCGUAGCCGACCUGAGAGGGUGAUCGGCCACACUGGAACUGAGACACGGUCCAGACUCCUACGGGAGGCAGCAGUAGGGAAUCUUCCGCAAUGGGCGAAAGCCUGACGGAGCAACGCCGCGUGAGUGAUGAAGGUCUUCGGAUCGUAAAACUCUGUUAUUAGGGAAGAACAAAUGUGUAAGUAACUAUGCACGUCUUGACGGUACCUAAUCAGAAAGCCACGGCUAACUACGUG
RNAcentral lists this ribosomal RNA (497 nucleotides) under uncultured bacterium. Its description in RNAcentral is "partial 16S ribosomal RNA". It matches the Rfam family "Bacterial small subunit ribosomal RNA", at positions 28 to 507 of the family's 1533-position model. The record is from RNAcentral.